This 7477-nucleotide long non-coding RNA is filed under the name Malus domestica (apple). Its description in RNAcentral is "long non-coding RNA (MDOM_LNC002159)". Lineage: Eukaryota; Viridiplantae; Streptophyta; Magnoliopsida; Rosales; Rosaceae. The record is from RNAcentral.
CACGCGCACCUUCUUCUUCCUUGGGUCGCCGGACUGGUUUUUCCGGCGGCCGUUUUUCAAAUUGCCAUAACUUUGUCAUUUCUCAACGAAAUCAAGUGAUUCCAAAACGAAAGUUGUAGCCCUUGAAGAUACAAAGAGAAUGGUACCUUGCACAACACCUAGUUCGCCGUGGUUUGGCCGGAAACUGCCUCGAAAGCCUCGGAGGUCGCCGGAAACUGGGUAUUUUUCAAAUGAGUAUAACUUCUUCAAUACUCAACGAAAUUGAGUGAAACAAAAAGGAAAGUUGUAGUACUUGACGAGACGAAGAGAUGGAUACCUACCUCGACUCCUAACUCGCCGGGGAUUCGCCGGAAAAAUCCUCGAAAGCUCCGGCCAAACUUUGAACUUGUCGAUCUCCGUGUUCUUACGUCCAAAAACUUCCAACGAAGCACUCCGAGCUUCCUUGGGACCUCACUAAGCUCGCUGUGAUCUUGUUUUAGCCUAAAUCGUAACCAUUUAAAAGAUCAUGAACAGUGCUCUUCCACGGGGAGUUUAGAAUCUAGGUUUUCCGAAGUAAAACUUACCUGAAAUUGGUGUCUACGUGAUCGUUGAGGUUCCAGGAGUUCAAUGGUGGUCUUAACUCCGUCGUUGGUAUAGAAGUUUAGUGUGGUUUUGGAGCUUGUCCGUGUGAGUUCGAAGGAGAGGGAGAGAGAACUGAGAGUUGCGUGAGGGAGGAGAGAGAGAGGGACAAGGUACGGGAAUUGGGGAAGGUUUUGAGGGAUGUGGGGAUCCCACGUGUCCAACUCAAUCCAAAUUGUUAAAUUUUCACCCCUUAGUCCCGUUUAAGGGCAUUUUCGUCUUUUCACGUCCUCGGAAUUAAAAUUCCGGGACGGGCUGUGACAAUCUUCCCUCCUUAUAGAAUUUCGUCCCCGAAAUUCCAGCAACCAACUAAAUCAACCAUACUCCAACAAUAGCUUCGGGUAAAUCUGUCUCAUCCGAUUCUCUUUCUCCCACAUAAUUUUCUACUGAAUGAUUCAUUCACAAAGCUUUUACUACUUACUCUGUCUUAAUUCUCAGGACCUUCUUUUUCCAAUCCAAAGUCGUCAUUGGUUCCUUAUCAAGUCGAAUCCAAUUUAAUUCUCAAUAGUUGCACCAGAAUCUCUUGUGACGAAUCUGCCACCUAGUGACAACGUAUCGAACCCAAAAUACAUUAAGUACCUUAGCCAACUCUGAAGACAUCACCACUUGUAUGCAACUUUAUUGAUUCCUUUAGUGAUAAAAAAAUGGUCUGAUGUGUCUAAAUCUUAUUUUGUCUCCUUUCCAACCCGAAUUAUACUUUUCUAUGGUGAACACUUCGAAAAUAUAAAACCAUUUGUCUUAUACACUCGAUUAGUGGCAUAUCCCUCUGUUAAUCUCUUUUGCCAUUCCUGGUUACUUUCAAGUUAACUUAAUCACCUGAAUACUUUGAGGAGACUCAUCCAUAGUCUCAGGGCCUACAAAAACUCUUUCGUGAUCAAAUCUUUUUCUAUUCAGAAGCAUUUCAUUCACACGACACGCUUCAGGGACCCUAUGGCGUUAUUUCGGAAACUGCGCACCCAACAUACUUAAGAAACUCAGCAGUUCCGUAAUCCAAUUCUCUUUUCCAUAAAACAAAUAAGUACUGUUACUCAACACUGGAGUAAAUGUACUAACUUGGUACAUUGACCAAUUAUCACUUCAAAUUCGAUCAUAACCAUCCUAUGUACAAGGAAACUUGUACACAUAAUCCAAAGUAAUAUCUUUCCAUUUCCACUGCGAAACAGAAAAUAGUUAUCCCAAUCCAAAGGUUUAUCUUUUUCUGCCUCAAUCUGCUGACCAAAUAAAACUGUCGAAUGGUAUGAUAAAUCUUAUUACUUUUGGAAUAUUACAGAAGUUGAACAGUGAACUUCGUCCAAUUUUUGCUUGCUUCAAAUCCUCAGCAUUAGGCACAUACUUUUUGUUUUCUUGUAUCCACAUACCAUUUGAUUCACGAAUCAUGUACUCAUUCUUUUUCCCUUCUUUCUCUGCCUUGGUUAAUUCUUAAAUUUCCUCGUCAAACAUUUAAGUUUCGAGUACGACCUUACCAAACAGGCCUAACUUGAAAUUUAACAAAUAUAACUUCUUCUCGAUCUUCCAUUCUUAAUUUUUCUUCCGUUGGUUUUCAAUCCACAAGAUGAUACUCUUGGCAAACGUGCCAGACAUUAAUCUUACUGUAGUCUUCUCACCAAGUGCUUCAGCUAGAACAAACUUUACGAUCACCCUGAUCGUACAAUCAUGUUCAUUAAGCAAUACAAUUCACUUUCGCUGCCUCAUAUCAAAAUCCUUCCAAGUAAUGGAUAUUGAAGACUUUUUGGAUUCGUAAAAAAAAUCUUGCAUUCUUACUAAAAUAUAAUGUCUCCAUAACUUCACAGCAAGGAUGGUAAUCGUGACUUCCAAAUCACCAGUAGGGUAAUUCAUCUUAUGAGGUUCCAUUUGUCGUGAAACGUAUGCAAUCACCCUAACAUUUGCAUUAAUACAUAUCCAAGAACAUUUAAUGUAACAUCACCAUAUACCGAUAAUUAUCGCUAUCUUCUGGGAAUAUUAAAAUACGUGCAUGAGUGAGGAAAUACUUCAGUUGUUGAAUCCUUUGCUCACAAUUUCCUUCCCACUCAUACAUAACCUCUUUUCUCAACAGUCUCGUCAAUGACAAAGCAAUGACUGAAAAAUCUUUCACAACCAUCCAAGAUAGCCUGGUAAGUUAAGAAAUUCCAAAUCUCAAUUACGACUCGUGGUUGUUCCAAUUCCUCAAUUUCUACUAUCUUUUAAGAAUUCAUUUGAAUACCUUAAGCAGAUAUACAAAUCUCAGAAUGCCACCUGAUUCAUCUAACUUUAGCAUUUGCUACUUAGCAUACAACCAACGUUCUCUCAAUCUUUGCUUCACCAACUUAAUAUGUUUACAUGCUUUGCUCUGGCUCAGAAUAUGCCAGAAUAUCUUCAAUGAAAAUGAUAUCAAGGCAUUAUUGGAAUACUUCAUCCAUCAACUCAUAAAACAGCAUGAGUAUCCAUAUAGCAUCACCAAACUUCAUCAAGACUAUAACGAGUCCAGAAAAACAAUCUUAGGAACAACGUUACUCAUAAUCUUCAAUUGAUAAUAAACAGACCUCAAGUCAAUCUUUGAAAAUAUACAAGCACCUUUGAACUGAUCAAAGGAGCGUCAAUACACCACAAUGGAUAACGGUUCUCAUUCGUUACCCGAUUCCAUUAUCUAUAAUCAAUGAACAAUCUCUAAGUCCAUUUCCUUUCUCACCAACAAACUGGUGCUCCUCAACAGUGUUGUACUAUGUUGAAUAAAACUUUUAUCAACCAAUUCUCUCAACUGAAUUUCCAAUUCCCUUAACUCAUCAUGAACCAAUCUUUAACAUAAAUUUAUACCCGGCAACAAAUCAAUAAUGAACCUCAUAUCUCUGCCUGAAGACAAUCCAGGUAUACUUUCAGGGAAGACAUCAAGAAAAGUCUAACCCCUUUUUCAUUUUUCACACUUCUCCGAGCAACAUCCUUUAGUACCACAUGAACUAAGUAUUUUUUUUUGACAUCCUUUCGAAAACAAUCUCUUUGCUCUCACAGCAUAAAUAACGGCCUGACUCAAUCCACUUUGCAUACUUACAAAAAUAAUCUCUGGUCAUCCAGAUCGAUGGAAAGUACUGGUUUCCCGUAACAUUCCAUCUAGUCACAACUAUAAACAAUCACUCUAAUGGAAUAAAAUUAAUUGACCCAAUACAUACUUUAUCAUUACUGAACAUUCUAAAUAAGUACAACACUAACAUAAAAUAAUUUACCGGGUUGCUUGCUUAACGAAUCCACGAAUAAGUUAUUAAUAUUACGGUCUGCAGCCCGCAAUACUGAUAAAUCAUUGUUGUCUCGAUAAGUAAGAAACCACUCUCAAAGAUAUAACAUUACUAUUUUGUCACUCAAUGAAAAAUACUUACACUCGUCUCAACUACAUUUAUUUACUACUCUCAAGGUAAUAACAUACAUAAUAAGAAAUAUAUCAGCCGAAGUCAACUAGAAUGACCAAUACGACUGAUUCAACUCUUAUCUCAAUAAUACGUCGGCCGGAUCCACUCCGCGUGGUCGGUACGGCCGAGCCUAUAACUCACCAAUUUCUCAUGUGUCAAUCGAAUCCACUUCUCAUGGUCUGUACGGCUGAACAUAUAACUCAUCAAAUCUCUCCGUACUCACGGUCAAUCCGACCAAACUACUAAAUCCAUAACUCUGCUGAAUCAACACUAUGAUAUCAUGGAAAAUUGUUGAGUACAACUGAUUCUAGGGACGAUUCACAAUUCUGUGUCCCCUCUGUUCACAUAAACACAUUCAUUAAUUUCACAUUUCCCAAAGUGUUAAUUUUUGUACCUGCUGCACAAGGUACAUUUCCUUUACUCGAGACACCUUGUCUCAAAUAUCUGGGAUUACCAGUAUAUCCAUCACUUUUACUCUGACCAGCGACAAUAAAACCUCAGCUGGAAGAAUUAAUUCUAGCUUCACUUCUUUUUAAACUCUGAAUCCUUCGAUAUUCUUGAUAUGACGAAUCAUUAACUUUAUCGUCUUCUUUUGAUUCCCAUUCAUUUCUUAUUCUUCUUUAUUCUCAUUGAUCAUGUUCUCAGAGUCCUCAAGGCUCAACAACAUCUUGUAUACUCCUGGUAAGAAGUACAAUGGAUAGUGGUCACCCAAAAUACCACUUCCCUUUUUGCCACCCAGCUUAAAACAAUAUAACACCUCCACCAAAUUAACAACAAUAUCUGGAUGGAACGAGGCAAGUCUGAAAACUUUCUAUAAUAUUCAUUUAUCGUCAACUUCCUUAAUUCACAUUUGCAAACUCUUGCUUACUACCAUCGAUAAAUGCCGGAGGGAUAAACUUUUCCUUAAACAAUUUUAAAUCGGCUGUUCCUCCGAUGACAACAAAUCAUACUCCUGUUUCCACCAGGAUACAAAUUCAUACCCAAAACCAGGUAGUCGUCUCGACCCCCCUGUCAGAAGGAAGAUUCCUUUGACUUGCAUAAUCUGAAACAUCUUUUCCAAAUGGUUAAACCGUUACUUCGCUCCCUCAGGUUCAUCAUUUCAUAAGGUGAUUCAAAUUCGACUCAUAACCCGUCUUAAAAUGUCCAUUUUUAUAAUAUACUGAAUCACCAUAAUAAUAGUUUUCCCUAAACCGCUAUAUUAGGGAGACUAAAUUCCUCUAACUAAGUGGCUUGCUACGAGGCGGUGUAGUUCUGACAGAAUUCACUAGAACUUCUCAAGAUGUCCAAGAUUGCAACCAUGCUCUGAUACCAACUGACACACCCCGUCCCGAAGGAGGGCAUGCUGGCCGUCACGUGAGAGUGACGUAACCAUUUGCACAGUACGGAAGCUUUAAGAUACAAUUUAUAAGUUGAUACACCCGAAGGUGAGUCCUAAUUUUGUCCAAUCUGUCAGAACACCGUCGAAUUCCUCGUAGUCACCACACCUUUGUGAUUCCUGAACCUGGAGGGGCGCAAAACCAAAAUUGAGUGGGUCAGUAAAACAAUUCUUUUCCAAAUCCAAACAUUUCUCAAAACGUUGUAACCCCUCUCCGUAAAACCUGUAUACUUUCCCCAGAAAUGUAAAAUAUAAAUAUACAUAUAUAUUCUCAAUACUUUAAUUCAUUAACUCAACAUUUUUUCUUUAUCAAUCAUGCCAUGCCAUGUCUAAUUCAACAGUUAAGUAUGGAUGCAUCAACAAUAAUCAUAUCAGGUGCAAGAAAGUAAUCAACCGGAGGCCCUCUAAUAGCCCUGUACGGUUGAACCUAGAGCUCAAAAUCUAUCACUAUCACUCUACCGGAGUCACCUCUGUGACCCGUCCGGCCUUCUGCACACAAGUUACGCUCUAGUGCUUUCUCAUCAAUCAUCUGUGCACAUAAUCUAAGGUCACCCACCAGUCGAAAUCUCACUAACACUCUUCGACUGGCCCGUCGCAACCCACUCCGCGUGGACUGUACGACCAGCAUCUACUUGGAUCCAAGGCGAGCGUGCGAUGCGGUGAAUACUAUAAGCACUAAACCAUGGUGCAGGAUUUGAGCUCAAUAUAUAUCAACAUCAUCAUAACAGUAAUUAAAUACUCACCUGAUACUCACCUGUGCGUCCGCCGCACCAUUCAUUCAUAUGCAUCAUAUCUCAAUUCAUACUUUUCAUAUCAUUUCAUGCAUGGCAAUUCGAUUCACAUUUCUAUAUACUUUUCAUAUACUUUUCAUGCAUGACAUUUCAACUAAUAUAUCUCAUAUACUUUUAUACAUUUUCAUUAAAAAGCAUAAUUUCAUGCAUUUUCAAUUUCUAGGAAACGGCAAGUAUAUAUGUAUACGGAAAACAAAACUGCCCACUCACCUGGAGUUCGUCCAACAACUCCCUAGCACCACACAUCAAGGCGUCACGACGAUCGCCGCCUAGAAUAGUAAUCAAAUCCAACCUCAGAAUUCAUAUCGAUAGAAUAUAACUUAUAUAAAAUACGUCACUACGUAGAUCGAUCCGGAAGAUCUGCCACUCAGAUUUUAAAUCCAUAACUUCCAGAGGUCCACAAUAUAUCUCUAGGAUAACAUCCUAAAAUUUCAUUACCAUCCAACGGUCGGAUCUCCGUCAAUUUCCAAAACUAAGUGACGGUUAACAUUCUAUAUUAUGGACUUACAACUCCAAUUUCGGAAGAUCCGCAAAUCGGAUUCCCAAUCUGUAAGUUCCUAUAAUCCUCAAAUAUUACGUAUUACAACGUAUCAAAGUUUGGUGAUGAUCCAACGGUCGGAUCAUCAAUUCAUAUUUUCACUUAAAUGCAAAAACUAUAAAACGUUAUUUGAACACCUAACCAACAAUCCUUAAUAACUUUCUCAUACGGUGCUCAAUUGGGUAUACGAAUAUACCACAGUGAUCUACUCGACGUCACGGACGUCGACAUAUUUUUCAAAUAAUUUUUUACUGUAGCACGCGCCCCCACGCGCCAAGGAAGGCACGGACCUACGCGCCCCCACGCGCACCUUCUUCUUCCUUGGGUCGCCGGACUGGUUUUUCCGGCGGCCGUUUUUCAAAUUGCCAUAACUUUGUCAUUUCUCAACGAAAUCAAGUGAUUCCAAAACGAAAGUUGUAGCCCUUGAAGAUACAAAGAGAAUGGUACCUUGCACAACACCUAGUUCGCCGUGGUUUGGCCGGAAACUGCCUCGAAAGCCUCGGAGGUCGCCGGAAACUGGGUAUUUUUCAAAUGAGUAUAACUUCUUCAAUACUCAACGAAAUUGAGUGAAACAAAAAGGAAAGUUGUAGUACUUGACGAGACGAAGAGAUGGAUACCUACCUCGACUCCUAACUCGCCGGGGAUUCGCCGGAAAAAUCCUCGAAAGCUCCGGCCAAACUUUGAACUUGUCGAUCUCCGUGUUCUUACGUCCAAAAACUUCCAACGAAGCACUCCGAGCUUCCUUGGGACCUCACUAAGCUCGCUGUGAUCUUGUUUUAGC